This 75-nucleotide transfer RNA is filed under the name Mycoplasmatota bacterium. RNAcentral's name for it is "Tenericutes bacterium (marine metagenome) tRNA-Gln". It matches the Rfam family "tRNA". Rfam says of the family: Transfer RNA (tRNA) molecules are approximately 80 nucleotides in length. RNAcentral also lists the same sequence under 1 other name. Lineage: Bacteria; Bacillati; Mycoplasmatota. The record is from RNAcentral.
UGGGCUAUGGCCAAGUGGUUAAGGCAUCGGACUUUGACUCCGUGAUCCCAAGUUCAAAUCUUGGUAGCCCAGCCA